RNAcentral lists this ribosomal RNA (403 nucleotides) under uncultured bacterium. RNAcentral's name for it is "partial 16S ribosomal RNA". It matches the Rfam family "Bacterial small subunit ribosomal RNA", at positions 28 to 526 of the family's 1533-position model. The record is from RNAcentral.
GACGAACGCUGGCGGCGUGCCUAAUACAUGCAAGUCGAACGCAGUGGGGACGGGUGAGUAACACGUGGGUAACCUCCCAUCAGAGGGGAUAACACUUGGAAACAGGUGCUAAACCGAUACUGAUGGAUGGACCCGCGGUGCAUUAGCUAGUUGGUGAGGUAACGGCUCACCAAGGCCCCGAUGCAUAGCCGACCGGAGGGGGGAAUCGGACACACUGGUACUGAGACACGGCCCAAAUGCGUACGGGAGGCAGCAGUAGGGAAUCUUCGGCAAUGGACGAAAGGCUGACAGGGCAACGCCGCGUGAGUGAAGAAGGUUUUCGGAUCGUAAAACUCUGUUAUUGGGGAAGCGGUAUCUAAACAGAAAGCAACGGCUAACUACGUGCCAGCAGCCGCGGUAAUUC